This 908-nucleotide ribosomal RNA is filed under the name uncultured bacterium. RNAcentral's name for it is "bacterial SSU rRNA". It matches the Rfam family "Bacterial small subunit ribosomal RNA", at positions 520 to 1425 of the family's 1533-position model. The record is from RNAcentral.
GUAAUACGUAGGGACCAAGCGUUGUUCGGAUUUACUGGGCGUAAAGGGCGCGUAGGCGGCGUGUCAAGUCAAUUGUGAAAUCUCCGAGCUUAACUCGGAACGGUCAAUUGAUACUGAUGUGCUAGAGUGCAGAAGGGGCAAUCGGAAUUCUUGGUGUAGCGGUGAAAUGCGUAGAUAUCAAGAGGAACACCUGAGGUGAAGACGGGUUGCUGGGCUGACACUGACGUUGAGGCGCGAAAGCUAGGGUAGCAAACGGGAUUAGAUACCCCGGUAGUCCUAGCCCUAAACGAUGAAUACUUGGUGUCUGGAGUUUUAAUUCUCCGGGUGCCGUCGCUAACGUUUUUAGUAUUCCGCCUGGGGAGUACGCACGCAAGUGUGAAACCCAAAGGAAUUGACGGGGACCCGCACAAGCGGUGGAGCAUGUGGUUUAAUUCGACGCAACGCGAAGAACCUUACCUGGACUAGAAUGCGAGGGAAGCUUGGGUAACGCCAGGCGUCUGGGCAACCAGACCCGGAGCAAGGUGCUGCAUGGCUGUCGUCAGCUCGUGUCGUGAGAUGUUGGGGUUAAGUCCCGCAACGAGCGCAACCCCUAUCAACAGUUGCCAUCAUUAAGUUGGGAACUCUGUUGAGACUGCCGUUGAUAAAGCGGAGGAAGUGGGGGGAUGAUGUCAAGUCAUCAUGUCUUUAUGUUCAGGGCUACACACGUGCUACAAUGGCAGGUACAAAGCGUCGCAAAAUCGUAAGAUGGAGCCAAUCGCAAAAAGCCUGUCUCAGUCGGGAUUGAAGUCUGCAACUCGACUUCAUGAAGCUGGAAUCGCUAGUAAUCGCAGAUCAGACGCUGCGGGUGAGUACGUUCCCGGGAUCUUGUACACACGCCCGUCACAUCACGAAAGUGAUGUACUAGAGUA